CUGCGGCGUGCCUAACACAUGCAGUCGAACGAUGAACCACUUCGGUGGGGAUUAGUGGCGAACGGGUGAGUAACACGUGGGCAAUCUGCCCUGCACUCUGGGACAAGCCCUGGAAACGGGGUCUAAUACCGGAUACUGAUUGUCUUGGGCAUCCUUGAUGAUCGAAAGCUCCGGCGGUGCAGGAUGAGCCCGCGGCCUAUCAGCUUGUUGGUGAGGUAACGGCUCACCAAGGCGACGACGGGUAGCCGGCCUGAGAGGGCGACCGGCCACACUGGGACUGAGACACGGCCCAGACUCAUACGGGAGGCAGCAGUGGGGAAUAUUGCACAAUGGGCGAAAGCCUGAUGCAGCGACGCCGCGUGAGGGAUGACGGCCUUCGGGUUGUAAACCUCUUUCAGCAGGGAAGAAGCGAAAGUGACGGUACCUGCAGAAGAAGCGCCGGCUAACUACGUGCCAGCAGCCGCGGUAAUACGUAGGGCGCAAGCGUUGUCCGGAAUUAUUGGGCGUAAAGAGCUCGUAGGCGGCUUGUCGCGUCGGUUGUGAAAGCCCGGGGCUUAACCCCGGGUCUGCAGUCGAUACGGGCAGGCUAGAGUUCGGUAGGGGAGAUCGGAAUUCCUGGUGUAGCGGUGAAAUGCGCAGAUAUCAGGAGGAACACCGGUGGCGAAGGCGGAUCUCUGGGCCGAUACUGACGCUGAGGAGCGAAAGCGUGGGGAGCGAACAGGAUUAGAUACCCUGGUAGUCACGCGUAACGGUGGGCACUAGGUGUGGGCAACAUUCACGUUGUCGUGCGCAGCUACGCAUAGUGCCCGCUGGGAGUACG
RNAcentral lists this ribosomal RNA (820 nucleotides) under Streptomyces sp. D303. Its description in RNAcentral is "bacterial SSU rRNA". It matches the Rfam family "Bacterial small subunit ribosomal RNA", at positions 36 to 884 of the family's 1533-position model. Lineage: Bacteria; Bacillati; Actinomycetota; Actinomycetes; Kitasatosporales; Streptomycetaceae. The record is from RNAcentral.